GUCUUUUAAUUGAGGACUAGUAUGAAUGGUUUGAUGAAAAACAUACUUUCUUUAUUUUAUUAAGGUGAAUUUAAUAUAUAUGUUAAAAAGCUUAUAUAUUAUUAUAAGACGAGAAGACCCUAUAGAGCUUUAUUCCAUAUAUAUCCAUAUAAGUAUCUUGUUUAUAUACAAUAGUAUAUAUAUGGAAUUUUAUUGGGGUGAUAGUUAAAUUUAUAUAACUUUAAUUUACUAAAUUUCAUAAAUUAGUGAUUAAUAUUGAUCCUAUAUUAUAGAUUAUAAGUCUAAGUUACCUUAGGGAUAACAGCGUAAUUCUGUUGGAGAGUUCAUAUUAAUAAUGGAGUUUGCGACCUCGAUGUUGGAUUAAAAUAAGUAUUAGGUGUAGAAGCUUAAUAACUAAGUCUGUUCGACUUUUAAAUUUUUACA
RNAcentral lists this ribosomal RNA (423 nucleotides) under Stenonabis sp. RNAcentral's name for it is "partial large subunit ribosomal RNA". It matches the Rfam family "Bacterial large subunit ribosomal RNA", at positions 1971 to 2600 of the family's 2925-position model. Lineage: Eukaryota; Metazoa; Arthropoda; Insecta; Hemiptera; Nabidae. The record is from RNAcentral.